GGCCAGUUGAUGACCGAGUAACACAUGCAUGGAGCAUGCAAUCAAUGCCCAGAACAAUUUCCGAGUGAACAGUACAGGUGGUGAUAGCUUGGCAUGAUCUCUAGGCGUCAAAUGAGGAAGGAUGUAUCUAACCAUCCGAGAAUCUCAUGACCAGAUCGCGAUGAAUUCUCAUACUCUGUUCUAAAUAAACCAAGACAACGGAAUUCAGGUAAGAGCCUUU
Molecule: long non-coding RNA, 220 nt
Filed under: Elaeis guineensis (African oil palm)
Lineage: Eukaryota; Viridiplantae; Streptophyta; Magnoliopsida; Arecales; Arecaceae
Description: long non-coding RNA (EGUI_LNC059113)
Source: RNAcentral